UGGGGAAUUUUGCACAAUGGGGGAAACCCUGAUGCAGCGACGCCGCGUGAUUUAGAAGGCCUUCGGGUUGUAAAAAUCUUUUGUAUGGGAAGAAAAUGACAGUACCAUACGAAUAAGGACCGGCUAAUUACGUGCCAGCAGCCGCGGUAAUACGUAAGGUCCGAGCGUUGUCCGGAAUCAUUGGGCGUAAAGGGUACGUAGGCGGAUAAGCAAGUUAGAAGUGAAAUCCUAUAGCUCAACUAUAGUAAGCUUUUAAAACUGCUCAUCUUGAGGUAUGGAAGGGAAAGUGGAAUUCCUAGUGUAUCGGUGAAAUGCGCAGAUAUUAGGAGGAAUACCGGUGGCGAAGGCGACUUUCUGGCCAUAUACUGACGCUGAGGUACGAAAGCGUGGGUAGCAAACAGG
This 402-nucleotide ribosomal RNA is filed under the name Verrucomicrobiota bacterium. Its description in RNAcentral is "Verrucomicrobia bacterium partial 16S ribosomal RNA". It matches the Rfam family "Bacterial small subunit ribosomal RNA", at positions 355 to 776 of the family's 1533-position model. The record is from RNAcentral. Lineage: Bacteria; Pseudomonadati; Verrucomicrobiota.